GAUGAACGCUGGCGGCGUGCCUAAUACAUGCAAGUCGAGCGAACAGAUGAGGAGCUUGCUCCUCUGACGUUAGCGGCGGACGGGUGAGUAACACGUGGAUAACCUACCUAUAAGACUGGGAUAACUUCGGGAAACCGGAGCUAAUACCGGAUAAUAUAUUGAACCGCAUGGUUCAAUAGUGAAAGACGGUUUUGCUGUCACUUAUAGAUGGAUCCGCGCCGCAUUAGCUAGUUGGUAAGGUAACGGCUUACCAAGGCAACGAUGCGUAGCCGACCUGAGAGGGUGAUCGGCCACCCUGGAACUGAGACACGGUCCAGGCUCCUGCGGGAGGCAGCAGUAGGGAAUCUUCCGCAAUGGGCGAAAGCCUGACGGAGCAACGCCGCGUGAGUGAUGAAGGUCUUCGGAUCGUAAAACUCUGUUAUUAGGGAAGAACAAAUGUGUAAGUAACUAUGCACGUCUUGACGGUACCUAAUCAGAAAGCCACGGCUAACUACGUG
Molecule: ribosomal RNA, 497 nt
Filed under: uncultured bacterium
Lineage: Bacteria
Description: partial 16S ribosomal RNA
Rfam family: Bacterial small subunit ribosomal RNA
Source: RNAcentral